This 1719-nucleotide ribosomal RNA is filed under the name Triticum aestivum (bread wheat). RNAcentral describes it as "partial small subunit ribosomal RNA". The record is from RNAcentral. Lineage: Eukaryota; Viridiplantae; Streptophyta; Magnoliopsida; Poales; Poaceae.
AUGGGUAAUAUACCCACAAGUAUGGGACAGCUGUCUCAGUUAAAGGUGCUCGAUCUUUCAUCAAACAAACUUGAAGGGGAGCUUCCAAGUAAACUAGGCAAUGUAAAAAGUCUGUUCCAUUUGAGCCUCGCUGAUAAUUUGCUCUAUGGUAGCAUUCCACAAGAAAUUGGAGCAUUGUACAAUCUAGAGAUCCUAGAUUUGUCAUCAAAUAACCUAAGUGGAUCGAUAAAAGGUUCAAUUGAACAUUGUCUCAAGCUUCGCUUUUUGAAGUUGAGUCAUAAUAACUUUGAAGGAAACAUCCCUACCGAGCUAGGCGUGGUGUCAAGCUUACAAGGCAUGUUGGAUUUAAGUGACAAUUCAUUUGUUGGGGCGAUACCAAGCCAACUUAGUGGCCUGAGCAUGCUAGAUACUUUGAAUCUUUCACGCAAUGAAUUGAAUGGCUCAAUUCCAGCAUCAUUUGGGAGCAUGGAAAGCUUAACAUCCAUUGAUGUAUCUUAUAAUGAAUUGGAAGGACCGAUCCCAGAGAGUAGGCUUUUCCUGAGAGCUCCACUCGAGUGUUUCAUGCAUAAUAAGAUGUUAUGUGGUGUAGUGAAAGGACUGCCCCCCUGUAGUAGUGCAACUCAGAGCGAAGGACAACGGACACCUUAUGGAAAAAUUGUACUAGCCACAGUCUCUAUUUUGAUAUCUCUUGUUCUUGUCGUAGCUAUACUUAAAUUCCGGCAUGAAAGGAAGAAAUCAAAGGCAACUUCCACUGAUAAUGUAACACAAUUAGCAAGCAUGUUCUCUGUUUGGAGCUUUGAUGGGACAAAUGUGUUCAAGCAAAUUGCUGAGGCAACUGACAAUUUUAGCGAGGUACAUUGCAUUGGAACCGGAGGAUAUGGGUCUGUGUACAAAGCUAGACUUGCAACAUGUGAAAUAUUUGCAGUGAAGAAGAUACGCAUAAUAGAAGAUGAGUAUGGCAUCAAUGAGUCAAUGUUCAAUCGCGAGAUCGGGGCAUUGGUGCAGAUUCGACAUCGAAACAUCGUAAAACUAUUUGGGCAUUGUUCCUCAAGCCAAGGCAGAUUUCUUAUCUAUGAAUACAUGGAGAGAGGAAACUUGGCAGAAACACUUAGAGCCAACAAAAGGGCAAUUGAAUUGGACUGGAAAAGGCGGGUAAAUAUCGUGUUGGACGUGGUUCAUGCUUUGGCAUACAUGCAUCAUGAUUGUCCAUCACCAAUAGUUCACCGAGAUAUAACAAGCAACAACAUUUUGCUUGAUGUGGAAUUUAGAGCUUGCAUCUCUGAUUUUGGUACGGCUAAAAUCCUCAAUGUUAGUGGCCCGAAUAUCACAAGCCUUGCUGGUACAAAAGGCUAUCUUGCUCCAGAGCUAGCGUACACAGAGAAUGUGACGGAGAAAUGUGAUGUAUAUAGCUUCGGAGUGCUCGUUAUUGAGCUUUUUUUGGGAUCCCAUCCAGGCGAUUUGCUCUCAUCUAUCUACUUGACAACCAACAAGAAUGAUCUGUGUCUGAAGGAUCUGCUGGACUCCAGGCUCGAGCUUCCGGGCGCUGAAACCGCUAGAGAAAUAUACAACAUGCUCAGCAUUGCAGUUCAGUGCCUAGACCCUAACCCAUCACACAGACCAACAACACGGCGUGCUAGUGAUGAGCUAUCUUCUGGGAACCAAAGAUGUGACGGUCAUCAUGUUGAUUAUCUACACGCCAACCUCACCAUUCCUACCUAG